GAAGCGCGAAAUGUAGUGUGAAUCGCAGAACAUUGUGAAUCAUCGAAUCUUUGAACGCACAUUGCGCCUCUCGGAACCGAGAGGCAUGCCUGUCUGAGCGUCAUUUAAACCAAUGGACCCGGGAGGGUCAGUGUUGGGCCUCGUCACCCGGCGUCGCCUCGAAGACAUCGGUCUUAUGAGCGGAUGAGAUCCAUAAGGACUGACCGUUUGUCGACCUUAAACCUCAGACUUGACCUCAGAUCAGGUGGGACUACCGCCUGAACUUAA
Molecule: unclassified non-coding RNA, 267 nt
Filed under: uncultured Archaeorhizomyces
Lineage: Eukaryota; Fungi; Ascomycota; Archaeorhizomycetes; Archaeorhizomycetales; Archaeorhizomycetaceae
Description: sequence contains ITS1
Rfam family: 5.8S ribosomal RNA (bases 1-103)
Source: RNAcentral